UCAGCGGUAGCCUAGUGGUCCAGGUAGCGGACUCCUGCUCGGCGUGUCAUGAGUUCGAGACUAGUACCACUGAA
Trichonephila clavipes is the source of this 74-nucleotide non-coding RNA. The record is from the annotation of a GenBank genome assembly. Lineage: Eukaryota; Metazoa; Arthropoda; Arachnida; Araneae; Nephilidae.